UACAGAGGGGGCAAGCGUUGUUCGGAAUUACUGGGCGUAAAGCGCACGUAGGCGGCUUUGCAAGUCGGGUGUGAAAUCCCCGGGCUCAACCUGGGAACUGCAUUCGAGACUGCUUUGCUCGAGUAUGGGAGAGGGAAGUGGAAUUUCCGGUGUAGCGGUGAAAUGCGUAGAUAUCGGAAGGAACACCGAUGGCGAAGGCAGGUCUCUGGGCCACUACUGACGCUGAGAAGCGAAAGCAUGGGGAGCGAACAGG
Molecule: ribosomal RNA, 253 nt
Filed under: uncultured bacterium
Lineage: Bacteria
Description: partial 16S ribosomal RNA
Rfam family: Bacterial small subunit ribosomal RNA
Source: RNAcentral